GACGAACGCUGGCGGCGUGCUUAACACAUGCAAGUCGAACGGCAAGGCCCUGCUUUUGUGGGGUGCUCGAGUGGCGAACGCGUGAGUAACACGUGAGUAACCUGCCCUUGACUUUGGGAUAACUUCAGGUAACUGGGGCUACUACCGGAUAGCAGCCCCCGCUGCAUGGUGGGGGUUGGAAAGUCUCGGCGUUUGGGGAUGGAGUCGCGGCUUAUCAGCUAGCUGGUGGGGUAGUGGAUGGCCAAGGCAUGGACGGGUAGCCGGCCUGUGAGGGAGACAGGCCACAGUGUCACAGGGGAACGGGCCGGGCGCCUUAGGGGGGCAGGAGUGGGGACUAGUGCACGAUGGGCGGAAGCCUGAUGCAGCAACUCCGCGUGCUAGAGGACGUUCUUCGGGUUGUAAAACGCGUUCGCCUGUGACGAAGCGUGAGGGACGGUAAUGGGGAAAGAAGCACCGGCUAACUACGU
RNAcentral lists this ribosomal RNA (467 nucleotides) under uncultured bacterium. Its description in RNAcentral is "partial 16S ribosomal RNA". It matches the Rfam family "Bacterial small subunit ribosomal RNA", at positions 28 to 506 of the family's 1533-position model. The record is from RNAcentral.